This 62-nucleotide transfer RNA is filed under the name Hiatella sp. J HML-2015. RNAcentral's name for it is "tRNA-Gly". Lineage: Eukaryota; Metazoa; Mollusca; Bivalvia; Adapedonta; Hiatellidae. RNAcentral also lists the same sequence under 1 other name. The record is from RNAcentral.
GUGUGGGUAGUAUAAUUCAUUAUUCUUAUCUUCCAAAUAAGAGAUCUAGGUUAGUCUACAUU